This 242-nucleotide ribosomal RNA is filed under the name uncultured bacterium. RNAcentral's name for it is "partial 16S ribosomal RNA". It matches the Rfam family "Bacterial small subunit ribosomal RNA", at positions 75 to 334 of the family's 1533-position model. The record is from RNAcentral.
AAGGCAAUCCUGAGUAAAGUGGCGUACUGGUGAGUAACACGUGGAUAUCUACCUCUUGGUGGGGGAUAACCUGGGGAAACCUGGGCUAAUACCGCAUAAGUUCGUGAGAAGAAAGGCGCAAGUCGCCGAGAGAGGAGUCCGCGGUCGAUUAGGUAGUUGGCGGGGUAAAAGCCCGCCAAGCCGAAGAUCGAUAGCCGGCCUGAGAGGGCACACGGCCACACUGGCACUGAAACACGGGCCAG